GAUGAACGCUGGCGGCGUGCCUAAUACAUGCAAGUCGAGCGAACAGACGAGGAGCUUGCUCCUCUGACGUUAGCGGCGGACGGGUGAGUAACACGUGGAUAACCUACCUAUAAGACUGGGAUAACUUCGGGAAGCCGGAGCUAAUACCGGAUAAUAUAUUGAACCGCAUGGUUCAAUAGUGAAAGACGGUUUUGCUGUCACUUAUAGAUGGAUCCGCGCCGCAUUAGCUAGUUGGUAAGGUAACGGCUUACAAAGGCAACGAUGCGUAGCCGACCUGCGAGGGUGAUCGGCCACACUGGAACUGAGACACGGUCCAGACUCCUACGGGAGGCAGCAGUAGGGAAUCUUCCGCAAAGGGCGAAAGCCUGACGGAGCAACGCCGCGUGAGUGAUGAAGGUCUUCGGAUCGUAAAACUCUGUUAUUAGGGAAGAACAAAUGUGUAAGUAACUAUGCACGUCUUGACGGUACCUAAUCAGAAAGCCACGGCUAACUACGUG
RNAcentral lists this ribosomal RNA (497 nucleotides) under uncultured bacterium. RNAcentral describes it as "partial 16S ribosomal RNA". It matches the Rfam family "Bacterial small subunit ribosomal RNA", at positions 28 to 507 of the family's 1533-position model. The record is from RNAcentral.